CGAACGCUGGCGGCGUGCUUAACACAUGCAAGUCGAACGCGAACGUUUUCUUCGGAAAACUAGUAGAGUGGCGCACGGGUGAGUAACGCGUAGAUAACCUGUCCUUAUGUCUGGGAUAACCCACCGAAAGGUGGACUAAUACCGGAUAUGCUUAUUUUUCAUAAGUUAUAUAAGUAAAGGUGGCCUCUGAUUUAAGCUACUGCAUGAGGAGGGGUCUGCGUACCAUUAGCUUGUUGGUGGGGUAAUGGCCUACCAAGGCUUCGAUGGUUAGCGGGUCUGAGAGGAUGAUCCGUCACACUGGCACUGAAACACGGGCCAGACUCCUACGGGAGGCAGCAGUGAGGAAUAUUGCGCAAUGGGGGAAACCCUGACGCAGCGACGCCGCGUGAGUGAGGAAGGCCUUCGGGUCGUAAAGCUCUGUCAAGAGGGAAGAAAUGCAUAUUAGUUAAUACCUAUUAUGUUUGACGGUACCUCUAAAGGAAGCACCGGCUAACUCC
Molecule: ribosomal RNA, 497 nt
Filed under: uncultured bacterium
Lineage: Bacteria
Description: bacterial SSU rRNA
Rfam family: Bacterial small subunit ribosomal RNA
Source: RNAcentral